GACGAACGCUGGCGGCGUGCCUAAUACAUGCAAGUAGGACGCAGUUGCGAACGGGUGAGUAACGCGUAGGUAACUACCUAUUAGAGGGGGAUAACUAUUGGAAAAGAUAGCUAAUACCGCAUACUAGUAGAUGGACCUGCGUUGUAUUAGGUAGUAGGUAGGGUAAUGGCCUACCUAGGAAACGAUACAUAGCCGACCUGGGGUGGUGUACGGCCACACUGGGACUGAGGCACGGCCCAGACGCCUACGGGAGGCAACAGUGGGGGAUCUUCGGCAAUGGGGGGAACCCUGGCCGAGCAACGCCGCGGGAGAGAAGGAGGUUUUCGGGUCGUAAAGCUCUGUUGUUAAGGGAGCGGUACUUAACCAGAAAGGGACGGCUAACUACGUGCCAGCAGCCGCGGUAAUUC
RNAcentral lists this ribosomal RNA (407 nucleotides) under uncultured bacterium. RNAcentral's name for it is "partial 16S ribosomal RNA". It matches the Rfam family "Bacterial small subunit ribosomal RNA", at positions 28 to 526 of the family's 1533-position model. The record is from RNAcentral.